RNAcentral lists this ribosomal RNA (254 nucleotides) under uncultured bacterium. RNAcentral's name for it is "partial 16S ribosomal RNA". It matches the Rfam family "Bacterial small subunit ribosomal RNA", at positions 524 to 776 of the family's 1533-position model. The record is from RNAcentral.
UACGUAGGGGGCGAGCGUUGUCCGCAGUUACUGGGCGUAAAGCGCGCGUAGGCGGUCUUUUAAGUCUGGGGUGAAAGGUUCAACGCUCAACGUGAACAGUGCCUUGGAUACUGGGAGACUUGAGUUCGGGAGAGGGCAGUGGAAUUCCGGGUGUAGCGGUGAAAUGCGUAGAUAUCCGGAGGAACACCGAUGGCGAAGGCAGCUGCCUGGCCUAGAACUGACGCUGAGGUGCGAAAGCGUGGGGAGCGAACGGG